Molecule: ribosomal RNA, 252 nt
Filed under: uncultured bacterium
Lineage: Bacteria
Description: partial 16S ribosomal RNA
Rfam family: Bacterial small subunit ribosomal RNA
Source: RNAcentral
UACGUAGGGGGCUAGCGUUAUCCGGAUUUACUGGGCGUAAAGGGUGCGUAGGUGGUUUCUUAAGUCAGGAGUGAAAGGCUACGGCUUAACCGUAGUAAGCUCUUGAAACUGGGAAACUUGAGUGCAGGAGAGGAAAGUGGAAUUCCUAGUGUAGCGGUGAAAUGCGUAGAUAUCGGGAGGAACACCAGUGGCGAAGGCGGCCACCUGGACUGUAACUGACACUGAGGCAUGAAAGCGUGGGGAGCAAACAGG